This 246-nucleotide ribosomal RNA is filed under the name Triticum aestivum (bread wheat). Its description in RNAcentral is "partial small subunit ribosomal RNA". The record is from RNAcentral. Lineage: Eukaryota; Viridiplantae; Streptophyta; Magnoliopsida; Poales; Poaceae.
AUGCAUGCAUACGUCACUCGGGUUGAGAGUUCUGACACCAUUGACAAUGUCAAGGCCAAGAUCAAGGACAAGGAGGGCAUCCGCCCUGACCAGCAGGGCCUUAUCUUUGCUGGUAAGCAGCUGGACGAUGGCCGCAGCCUCACUGACUACAACAACCCGAAGGAGUCCACCCUUCACCUGCUGUCACCUCCGUGGUGGCCAUCCAUCCAUCAGUCUGAGGAGCUGCUCAUACCUGGCCUCAACUAA